GAUGAACGCUGGCGGCGUGCCUAAUACAUGCAAGUCGAGCGAACGGACGAGAAGCUUGCUCCUCUGAUGUUAGCGGCGGACGGGUGAGUAACACGUGGAUAACCUACCUAUAAGACUGGGAUAACUUCGGGAAACCGGAUCUAAUACCGGAUGAUAUUUUGAACCGCAUGGUUCAAAAGUGAAAGACGGUCUUGCUGUCACUUAUAGAUGGAUCCGCGCUGCAUUAGCUAGUUGGUAAGGUAACGGCUUACCAAGGCAACGAUGCAUAGCCGACCUGAGAGGGUGAUCGGCCACACUGGAACUGAGACACGGUCCAGACUCCUACGGGAGGCAGCAGUAGGGAAUCUUCCGCAAUGGGCGAAAGCCUGACGGAGCAACGCCGCGUGAGUGAUGAAGGUCUUCGGAUCGUAAAACUCUGUUAUUAGGGAAGAACAUAUGUGUAAGUAACUGUGCACAUCUUGACGGUACCUAAUCAGAAAGCCACGGCUAACUACGUG
RNAcentral lists this ribosomal RNA (497 nucleotides) under uncultured bacterium. Its description in RNAcentral is "partial 16S ribosomal RNA". It matches the Rfam family "Bacterial small subunit ribosomal RNA", at positions 28 to 507 of the family's 1533-position model. The record is from RNAcentral.